UCCAAGAAAUUGGGGCUAAUACCGGAUAUGUCCGCUGACCGCAUGGGAGGUGGUGGAAAGGGUUUCCGGCUGGGGAUGGGCCCGCGGCCUAUCAGCUUGUUGGUGGGGUAGUGGCCUACCAAGGCGACGACGGGUAGCCGGCCUGAGAGGGUGACCGGCCACACUGGGACUGAGACACGGCCCAGACUCCUACGGGAGGCAGCAGUGGGGAAUAUUGCGCAAUGGGCGGAAGCCUGACGCAGCGACGCCGCGUGGGGGAUGACGGCCUUCGGGUUGUAAACCUCUUUCAGCAGGGACGAAGCGCAAGUGACGGUACCUGCAGAAGAAGCACCGGCCAACUACGUGCCAGCAGCCGCGGUAAUACGUAGGGUGCAAGCGUUGUCCGGAAUUAUUGGGCGUAAAGAGCUCGUAGGCGGUUCGUCGCGUCGGCUGUGAAAACCUGAGGCUCAACCUCAGGCCUGCAGUCGAUACGGGCGGACUUGAGUUCGGCAGGGGAGACUGGAAUUCCUGGUGUAGCGGUGAAAUGCGCAGAUAUCAGGAGGAACACCGGUGGCGAAGGCGGGUCUCUGGGCCGAAACUG
This 580-nucleotide ribosomal RNA is filed under the name uncultured Geodermatophilaceae bacterium. Its description in RNAcentral is "bacterial SSU rRNA". It matches the Rfam family "Bacterial small subunit ribosomal RNA", at positions 148 to 742 of the family's 1533-position model. The record is from RNAcentral. Lineage: Bacteria; Bacillati; Actinomycetota; Actinomycetes; Geodermatophilales; Geodermatophilaceae.